Molecule: ribosomal RNA, 255 nt
Filed under: uncultured bacterium
Lineage: Bacteria
Description: partial 16S ribosomal RNA
Rfam family: Bacterial small subunit ribosomal RNA
Source: RNAcentral
UACGAAGGGGGCUAGCGUUGCUCGGAAUUACUGGGCGUAAAGCGCACGUAGGCGGCUUCUUAAGUCGGUGGUGAAAUCCUGGAGCUCAACUCCAGAACUGCCUUCGAUACUGGGAGCUCGAAGUCCGGGAGAGGUGAGUGGAACUGCGAGUGUAGAGGUGAAAUUCGUAGAUAUUCGCAAGAACACCAGUGGCGAAGGGCGGCUCACUGGCCCGGUACUGACGCUGAGGUGCGAAAGUGUGGGGAGCAAAGCAGG